This 254-nucleotide ribosomal RNA is filed under the name uncultured bacterium. RNAcentral describes it as "partial 16S ribosomal RNA". It matches the Rfam family "Bacterial small subunit ribosomal RNA", at positions 524 to 777 of the family's 1533-position model. The record is from RNAcentral.
UACGGAGGGAGCUAGCGUUGUUCGGAAUUACUGGGCGUAAAGCGCACGUAGGCGGAUAUUUAAGUCAGGGGUGAAAUCCCAGAGCUCAACUCUGGAACUGCCUUUGAUACUGGGUAUCUUGAGUAUGGAAGAGGUAAGUGGAAUUGCGAGUGUAGAGGUGAAAUUCGUAGAUAUUCGCAGGAACACCAGUGGCGAAGGCGGCUUACUGGUCCAUAACUGACGCUGAGGUGCGAAAGCGUGGGGAGCAAACAGGG